UGAGCCAAGUUUAGGGUUUUCUCAAAACCCAAGCAGUAUUGAACUGAAGAGUUUGAUCAUGGCUCAGAUUGAACGCUGGCGGCAGGCCUAACACAUGCAAGUCGAGCGGAUGAAGGGAGCUUGCUCCUGGAUUCAGCGGCGGACGGGUGAGUAAUGCCUAGGAAUCUGCCUGGUAGUGGGGGAUAA
Molecule: ribosomal RNA, 186 nt
Filed under: Pseudomonas aeruginosa
Lineage: Bacteria; Pseudomonadati; Pseudomonadota; Gammaproteobacteria; Pseudomonadales; Pseudomonadaceae
Description: partial 16S ribosomal RNA
Rfam family: Bacterial small subunit ribosomal RNA (bases 41-186)
Source: RNAcentral